Molecule: non-coding RNA, 613 nt
Organism: Musa acuminata subsp. malaccensis (wild Malaysian banana)
Lineage: Eukaryota; Viridiplantae; Streptophyta; Magnoliopsida; Zingiberales; Musaceae
Source: RefSeq, a predicted model, not a curated record
CGUCACUAUCACCGCCUACUUGGAUGACACCUUGGAGUUCACCGUCAAGUCUCCCUCCGUCUCCUGCUUCCCCAAUUAGUGCUCCAGAGUCGGGACGGCAGCAGCCGCCCUGGUCAUAUCGGUGCCUCCUCCGUCACCUUCUUGUAAGCACCUCUCAGUCGAGGCCAUCUGCAAGUCAGUGCCGCGACAUCUCUGAUCGAUACCACCGGAUCAAUGGAAAAACAAGUAAGCAGAACAAAAGCAAUACAACCUCAAUAAGAGCGGGCAUGAUCCACUGCGAUUAUGAAACAGAUCCUAUUUCCAUCGGAAUGUUAUUUGGGGUGGGGCUAAGCUCAUGAUGUGAGAAUUGGAGAGCUUCAAGGGUAAUACACAGUUGUGGAAGACCACCUUUAAGAAGAACUUGGAGAUUGAUGCCAUGGUCAUCUGCCUCCUAGCAUAUUCCUCACUUCCUGUAGCUCCUUCCUUCUCGAGCACCCGAAAUUUCUAAUUGCCGUAGUCCAUCUUGUUUCCCUCCUCAGAUGAGAGACGUCAGAGUAAUUCGAGUAGAGUCUUGUAUUUGUUGUGUACUAUUAUGUCUCUGAUAUUAUACGAAUCGUGAUCUAUUUCCAAAUAA